UGCAGUCGAACGGCAGCAUGAUCUAGCUUGCUAGAUUGAUGGCGAGUGGCGAACGGGUGAGUAAUACAUCGGAACGUGCCCUGUAGUGGGGGAUAACUAGUCGAAAGAUUAGCUAAUACCGCAUACGACCUGAGGGUGAAAGUGGGGGACCGCAAGGCCUCAUGCUAUAGGAGCGGCCGAUGUCUGAUUAGCUAGUUGGUGGGGUAAAGGCCCACCAAGGCGACGAUCAGUAGCUGGUCUGAGAGGACGAUCAGCCACACUGGGACUGAGACACGGCCCAGACUCCUACGGGAGGCAGCAGUGGGGAAUUUUGGACAAUGGGCGAAAGCCUGAUCCAGCAAUGCCGCGUGUGUGAAGAAGGCCUUCGGGUUGUAAAGCACUUUUGUCCGGAAAGAAAUGGCUCUGGUUAAUACCUGGGGUCGAUGACGGUACCGGAAGAAUAAGGACCGGCUAACUACGUGCCAGCAGCCGCGGUAAUACGUAGGGUCCAAGCGUUAAUCGGAAUUACUGGGCGUAAAGCGUGCGCAGGCGGUUGUGCAAGACCGAUGUGAAAUCCCCGAGCUUAACUUGGGAAUUGCAUUGGUGACUGCACGGCUAGAGUGUGUCAGAGGGGGGUAGAAUUCCACGUGUAGCAGUGAAAUGCGUAGAGAUGUGGAGGAAUACCGAUGGCGAAGGCAGCCCCC
Molecule: ribosomal RNA, 683 nt
Filed under: Ralstonia sp. M47C10B2b
Lineage: Bacteria; Pseudomonadati; Pseudomonadota; Betaproteobacteria; Burkholderiales; Burkholderiaceae
Also listed under: 2 other names
Description: bacterial SSU rRNA
Rfam family: Bacterial small subunit ribosomal RNA
Source: RNAcentral